GGAGAAAUGGCAGAGUGGUCGAUUGCGGCAGUCUUGAAAACUGUUGAACCGUGAGGUUCCUGGGGUUCGAAUCCCUAUUUCUCCG
Molecule: transfer RNA, 85 nt
Filed under: Chryseobacterium sp.
Lineage: Bacteria; Pseudomonadati; Bacteroidota; Flavobacteriia; Flavobacteriales; Weeksellaceae
Also listed under: 4 other names
Description: tRNA-Ser
Rfam family: tRNA
About the family: Transfer RNA (tRNA) molecules are approximately 80 nucleotides in length.
Source: RNAcentral